CUCUCUGCGGAAGCCAGCCACCGCUCUCCAAGGACUCUCGAGCAGCUCCAUCUACAGAUUCACAUGGAGAAGAAUUAAGGGUUCCUGCCAAUCACCAGCACCACUUUGCCAGCCUUGUAAGUGGGCCACCUUGGAAUUGGAGCCUCCAGUUCCUACUGACAUCUGACUGCAACAUCAUGAGAGACCCUGAGUUUGAACCACCCAGCUGAGCUGCUUCUGAGCUAACCCACUGAAACCAGUCUUGCUCUGUCACCCAGGCUAGAGUGCAAUGGCAUAAUCUCAGCUCACUGCAACAUCUGCCUCCCAGGUUCAAGCAAUUCUCCUGCCUCAGCCUCCCAAGAAGGUGAAAGUACCUGAAUGAAACAACACCCAGUAGCCACUAGCACACCUAGCUCCCAGAUCUGUUUUUGAUGCCAUUCUUCAGUAAAAGGAAGCAAGGCUGCUUGGAGAAAUUGCUAUCAAGGACUGGGGUAGAAAAUAUACAAGAUGAAAUUGGAGCAUCUUGUAGUGCUUGAAAACAGUUGGCAUCUGUGUGAAGAUGUGAAUGGAGGAGGCAGAGUAGGCAGUGAGUGCCGCAGCCACAGCUUGUGUUCUCUGCAGCCCUGGCACAGAAGAUAGGAACACUCAUGGGGGAUGCGGCCACUGUGAUGUCUUCCCACACAAGAAGUGCCAAGUGCUUUUCUCAUGCUUUUCUGGAUUGUCCCAUGGUGGACGAGUCAGCAGGAGUGAGAUGGAGCAGCACAGUAGAGGGGCCAGGAUAUCGUUGUACAUAUUCUCAGCUAAGUGAGCACCAAUAGAGGAGAGGGAGAGUCUCAUGGAAGUUCCUUCUAAGCCUUUGGCUCUUUUUACCUUCAACAAGGUUCCUUAGAUCCUGGGAUGAGGAGGUGGACCAGCAGAAGGUGGGCUUGUGAAGGCAGCCCGGGGUCCAAAUCCUCCUGGCUCUUCAGCUUAGCGGGAUGUCACCUUCAGCGUCUGAAAGCUGGGUUUGAUGCGUCUGGAAAGGCGUCCCUGACAGGCGUCGUUGCCAGGAGCCCCUAGUGCCACCAGCAGCCAGCAGGGGAGGGCGUCCUCUGCCCGCUCACUUCUGACCCUUCUCUCGUUGCACCCGGAACAUGGUGCAGCUGGGAGCAGCCUGGGCUGCGCGGAAGGCUCAGAUUUGGGGACGGCCCUUGCCAGUGACUGUGAGCUGGGGUGUCUUGGAAACUCCCAGUCUCAGCUUCUCCAUUUAUAAGAUGAGAAUGAUCAUACCAGACUCAGGCAAGGUUGUUUGUGCAUUAGUGAAAUCAGACGUAUUAAAUAAAGUACCACAUUGAUC
RNAcentral lists this long non-coding RNA (1315 nucleotides) under Homo sapiens (human). RNAcentral describes it as "long intergenic non-protein coding RNA 658". The record is from RNAcentral. Lineage: Eukaryota; Metazoa; Chordata; Mammalia; Primates; Hominidae.